RNAcentral lists this ribosomal RNA (466 nucleotides) under Entyloma dahliae. Its description in RNAcentral is "LSU rRNA". It matches the Rfam family "Eukaryotic large subunit ribosomal RNA", at positions 110 to 578 of the family's 3401-position model. Lineage: Eukaryota; Fungi; Basidiomycota; Exobasidiomycetes; Entylomatales; Entylomataceae. The record is from RNAcentral.
CAAAUUUGAAAGCUGUUGCCUUUGGUAACCGCAUUGUAAUCUCGAGAUCUGUUUUCCGCGCUGGACCAUGUACAGGUCCCUUGGAAUAGGGCGUCAUAGAGGGUGAGAAUCCCGUACUUGACAUGGCCUCCCAGUGCUUUGUGAUACAGGCUCAACGAGUCGAGUUGUUUGGGAAUGCAGCUCAAAAUGGGUGGUAAAUUCCAUCUAAAGCUAAAUAUUGGGGAGAGACCGAUAGCGAACAAGUACCGUGAGGGAAAGAUGAAAAGCACUUUGGAAAGAGAGUUAAACAGUACGUGAAAUUGUCAAAAGGGAACCGUUUAAAGUUAGUCAUGCUUGCCUGGACUCAGCCUUGCUUUUGCUUGGUGCAUUUCCAGGUUAGCAGGUCAGCAUCGGUUUUGACUGCUGGCAUAAGGGUGAGAGGAAUGUGGCACCUUCGGGUGUGUUAUAGCCUCUUACUGGAUGCAGC